GUACUUACUUCAGUAGCACGCAAACUAAAAUUGAAAUGGCACAGAGAAAAAUUAGCCUGGUCCCUGUGUAAGAAUGACAUACAAAUUAGUGAAGCAUUGUGUUU
Small nuclear RNA from Gracilinanus agilis (Agile Gracile Mouse Opossum), 104 nucleotides. Lineage: Eukaryota; Metazoa; Chordata; Mammalia; Didelphimorphia; Didelphidae. The record is from RefSeq and is a predicted model, not a curated record.